AACUAGUCUUGUGCCUCUCCACGUCAUCGAGUGUGCCAAAGGCAUCCUCCAAUACUUGAAGCAUGUCCUUUGGCUGAGCUGUCUCAAAUCUGCGAUUGAACUCGUUGCUCAUGGUAGCUAGCAUGAUACAGUGCACCGUGAUCCGAUCACUGAGCUACUUCUAAUAAGUAUCUUUGACUAUUCCACGUGCAUUGGCAGCUAGCUCCUCAGGUGCAGGAUCCGUUAUC
This 227-nucleotide long non-coding RNA is filed under the name Elaeis guineensis (African oil palm). RNAcentral describes it as "long non-coding RNA (EGUI_LNC043690)". Lineage: Eukaryota; Viridiplantae; Streptophyta; Magnoliopsida; Arecales; Arecaceae. The record is from RNAcentral.